UCUCUUCUAAUUUUUCAUUUUAGAUGAAAAAUUUAAAAAAUAUUUUUUUAAUGUAAGUAGAAGUACUGUUUGUAAUCAUUUAUGGUAAUUGCUAAUUGCGUUGUGUUUUGAGUUCAAGUUUUACGCAGAAUGCAAAACCCUUUUGUUGAUUUGAACUAUGAACGGAAACCAGCCGGGAAUGAGAUAUGUUUCAUGAUUUCAUAAUUUUCAUCCGUCCUUCGUCGAGUCGAGUCGCGAAUGUAGGUAUAUAGUUGAUAUUAUUUUAUUCGGCAGAUGGUCCGCGGCUGACCACACAGUUCCAAUCGCCAAUCGUGUCUCCCAACUCUCGAAUGAACAUUUAUAUUUCACAUUUCACACAACGUUAUGUUUCAUGUUUUCUCGUAUCAUGUCGCUCGCCACCGACGGUUAUGCAGUUGGAAUUUCUCAUUAUCAGAUGGUUUGCUGAGAACAGUGAACAUGGACGUUUUAAGAUUGUACGAAAAUUCAUUCUGCAACGAUGAAAGUUUGAUUGUUCUGGUUCAAAUGUUUGGAUACUCGGUUAGGUAAUUAGAUCCGUGUUAAUGUUUAGAACUAUUUCCAGGUAAUUUCUCAAGAAAAAGGCGAGUAGGCGUUUCUGCGAACCGUUCUUGACCCGACCUGAUUCGAUUCGAUUCGGAAGAGGAGGAAAAACAAAUACGCGUUAACAUCUUUAAAACUACAAUGUCCGACGUCUUCUACCAAAAUUCCAUUUUCCAAGAUUCUGCAAAAUUGUAUUGUACGGAACAUUCGAAGACGACGAGACGACGACAAUCACGAACUACUCGUAUCUUAUUUCCUUUAUAUCAUUCUCUUGCCCGUUUUGUUUUCAAGUGGACGGAGAACUGAUAUGGGGAGUGAAGAUAUUGCAAAACAGUGACGGUCAUACGCGUAGUUCGGGUGUACAAUUGUACAUAAAUAAUACGUAUACGGUAUACCUAUGAUCUAAGCUGUACAUUAGAAAAUCUAACCUAGGUGGUGUGGUAGGAUAUCUUCUUAAUUUCUCGCGUUAUAUGUACGAGUAUUUUCAGUAUUCCAGUUCAUCGAUCCGUCGAUGCCAUGUGCCAUAUGCCUAUUGUUUAUUACCCACUUGUAAUUUUGAAUUACGUAAUUUAUGUACCUACCUAUAUGUAAUUAUGUACAUUACAUACGUAUUAUGUAGAAUAGUAAAAAUGUAUAGGCACUCGA
Planococcus citri (citrus mealybug) is the source of this 1203-nucleotide long non-coding RNA. RefSeq lists it as uncharacterized. Lineage: Eukaryota; Metazoa; Arthropoda; Insecta; Hemiptera; Pseudococcidae. The record is from RefSeq and is a predicted model, not a curated record. The transcript is spliced from 4 exons.